RNAcentral lists this ribosomal RNA (253 nucleotides) under uncultured bacterium. RNAcentral's name for it is "partial 16S ribosomal RNA". It matches the Rfam family "Bacterial small subunit ribosomal RNA", at positions 524 to 776 of the family's 1533-position model. The record is from RNAcentral.
UACGGAGGGGGCAAGCGUUGUUCGGAUUUACUGGGCGUAAAGCGCACGUAGGCGGAUUGUUAAGUCGGGGGUGAAAUCCUGGAGCUCAACUUCAGAAUUGCCUUCGAUACUGGCUUUCUAGAGGCUGGAAGAGGUUAGUGGAAUUCCCAGUGUAGAGGUGAAAUUCGUAGAUAUUCGCAAGAACACCAGUGGCGAAGGCGCCUCACUGGCCCGAUACUGACGCUGAGAUGCGAAAGCUUGGGGAGCAAACAGG